This 116-nucleotide non-coding RNA is filed under the name Candidatus Zhuqueibacterota. RNAcentral's name for it is "Candidate division MoCo sequence". It matches the Rfam family "Molybdenum/Tungsten riboswitch aptamer (Moco RNA motif)". The record is from RNAcentral. Lineage: Bacteria; Pseudomonadati.
UAUAAUAGAGUUCUCCGAUCCGCCCGGCCUGAUCUUUAGAUGGCUCGGCGGACGUUAGGGUGCGGUUCGAAAGGAUCGCGCCUCCCAUUUUGGAAAGGAGAAAUAUGAACGGCAUC